CGACGACACAGUGUUUGGCACAAUUAAUUAAAUUUUUCAUGCAGUUAAAUAAUUGUAUAAGUAGUGACCACUUUCGGGAUACCGUUCACUUUUGCAGUUCUACAUCCUGCUGCAUUUUUCGUUAAAUACUCCGAACCGAUACUGUAUAGAACAAAUUGAUUAUGUAAAGAAAAAUUAUCCACUGAAUAAUUUACAGUUGAAAGGGAGAGAGAAGGAGUUCUCAUUUGAAAAACAGAAGUUUGAUUCUCCAUAGGACACUCCUUAUUCCUUAAGUAGUACAAAAAUCUCAAGAAUUUGAAAAUAAAAUCUUUAAGUAUUUUUAA
This is a long non-coding RNA of Metopolophium dirhodum (rose-grain aphid), 323 nucleotides long. RefSeq lists it as uncharacterized. NCBI's taxonomy places the organism in Eukaryota, Metazoa, Arthropoda, Insecta, Hemiptera, Aphididae. The transcript has 2 exons. The record is from RefSeq and is a predicted model, not a curated record.